CCAGACUCCUACGGGAGGCAGCAGUGGGGAAUAUUGCACAAUGGGGGAAACCCUGAUGCAGCCAUGCCGCGUGUGUGAAGAAGGCCUUCGGGUUGUAAAGCACUUUCAGCGAGGAGGAAAGGUUGAUACCUAAUACGUAUCAACUGUGACGUUACUCGCAGAAGAAGCACCGGCUAACUCCGUGCCAGCAGCCGCGGUAAUACGGAGGGUGCAAGCGUUAAUCGGAAUUACUGGGCGUAAAGCGCACGCAGGCGG
Molecule: ribosomal RNA, 255 nt
Filed under: Aeromonas hydrophila
Lineage: Bacteria; Pseudomonadati; Pseudomonadota; Gammaproteobacteria; Aeromonadales; Aeromonadaceae
Description: partial 16S ribosomal RNA
Rfam family: Bacterial small subunit ribosomal RNA
Source: RNAcentral